This 178-nucleotide ribosomal RNA is filed under the name Havardia mexicana. Its description in RNAcentral is "5.8S ribosomal RNA". The stretch from base 1 to 156 matches the Rfam family "5.8S ribosomal RNA". From Rfam's summary of the family: 5.8S ribosomal RNA (5.8S rRNA) is a component of the large subunit of the eukaryotic ribosome. It is transcribed by RNA polymerase I as part of the 45S precursor that also contains 18S and 28S rRNA. Functionally, it is thought that 5.8S rRNA may be involved in ribosome translocation. Lineage: Eukaryota; Viridiplantae; Streptophyta; Magnoliopsida; Fabales; Fabaceae. The record is from RNAcentral. RNAcentral also lists the same sequence under 2 other names.
GACUCUCGGCAACGGAUAUCUCGGCUCUCGCAUCGAUGAAGAACGUAGCGAAAUGCGAUACUUGGUGUGAAUUGCAGAAUCCCGUGAACCAUCGAGUCUUUGAACGCAAGUUGCGCCCGAAGCCACUAGGCCGAGGGCACGUCUGCCUGGGUGUCACGCAACGUCGCCAACGCCCGAU